CACUUUAAAAAAGUCGUUACGGAAAACUAUACAGUCCAGAUCUCAAAUAAUGUUCAAAUUAAAGAAA
Molecule: transfer RNA, 67 nt
Filed under: Phaeocystis antarctica
Lineage: Eukaryota; Haptophyta; Phaeocystales; Phaeocystaceae
Source: RNAcentral